AAGGCCUUAGUUUAAUUAAAACAUUUGAUUUGCAUUCAGUAGAUGCGAGAUAAACUCUUGUGGGUCUUA
This 69-nucleotide transfer RNA is filed under the name Saurogobio xiangjiangensis. Its description in RNAcentral is "tRNA-Ala". It matches the Rfam family "tRNA". From Rfam's summary of the family: Transfer RNA (tRNA) molecules are approximately 80 nucleotides in length. Their secondary structure includes four short double-helical elements and three loops (D, anti-codon, and T loops). Further hydrogen bonds mediate the characteristic L-shaped molecular structure. tRNAs have two regions of fundamental functional importance: the anti-codon, which is responsible for specific mRNA codon recognition, and the 3' end, to which the tRNAs corresponding amino acid is attached (by aminoacyl-tRNA synthetases). tRNAs cope with the degeneracy of the genetic code in two manners: having more than one tRNA (with a specific anti-codon) for a particular amino acid; and 'wobble' base-pairing, i.e. permitting non-standard base-pairing at the 3rd anti-codon position. Lineage: Eukaryota; Metazoa; Chordata; Actinopteri; Cypriniformes; Gobionidae. The record is from RNAcentral.